GUGCCAGCCGCCGCGGUAAGACGUAGGAGGCGAGCGUUAUCCGGAUUCACUGGGCGUAAAGCGCAUGUAGGCGGUUCAUUAAGUCCGCGGUUAAAGCCCCCGGCUCAACUGGGGGAGGUCCGUGGAGACUAUUGGACUUGAGGGCAACAGAGGCACGUGGAACUCCCGGUGUAGCGGUGGAAUGCGUAGAGAUCGGGAAGAACACCAGUGGCGAAGGCGACGUGCUGGGUUGCAACUGACGCUGAGAUGCGAAAGUGUGGGGAGCAAACGGGAUUAGAAACCCGCGUAGUCC
This 292-nucleotide ribosomal RNA is filed under the name uncultured bacterium. Its description in RNAcentral is "partial 16S ribosomal RNA". It matches the Rfam family "Bacterial small subunit ribosomal RNA", at positions 505 to 796 of the family's 1533-position model. The record is from RNAcentral.